This 497-nucleotide ribosomal RNA is filed under the name uncultured bacterium. Its description in RNAcentral is "partial 16S ribosomal RNA". It matches the Rfam family "Bacterial small subunit ribosomal RNA", at positions 28 to 507 of the family's 1533-position model. The record is from RNAcentral.
GAUGAACGCUGGCGGCGUGCCUAAUACAUGCAAGUCGAGCGAACAGACGAGGAGCUUGCUCCUCUGACGUUAGCGGCGGACGGGUGAGUAACACGUGGAUAACCUACCUAUAAGACUGGGAUAACUUCGGGACACCGGAGCUAAUACCGGAUAAUAUAUUGAACCGCAUGGUUCAAUAGUGAAAGACGGUUUUGCUGUCACUUAUAGAUGGAUCCGCGCCGCAUUAGCUAGUUGGUAAGGUAACGGCUUACCAAGGCAACGAUGCGUAGCCGACCUGAGAGGGUGAUAGCCCACACGGGAACGGAGACGCGGUCCAGACUCCUACGGGAGGCAGCAGUAGGGUAUCGUACGCAAUGGGCGAAAGCCUGACGGAGCAACGCCGCGUGAGUGAUGACGGUCUUCGGAUCGUAAAACUCUGUUAUUAGGGAAGAACAAAUGUGUAAGUAACUAUGCACGUCUUGACGGUACCUAAUCAGAAAGCCACGGCUAACUACGUG